Molecule: ribosomal RNA, 549 nt
Filed under: uncultured bacterium
Lineage: Bacteria
Description: bacterial SSU rRNA
Rfam family: Bacterial small subunit ribosomal RNA
Source: RNAcentral
UGGGGAAUUUUGGACAAUGGGCGCAAGCCUGAUCCAGCCAUGCCGCGUGUCUGAAGAAGGCCUUCGGGUUGUAAAGGGCUUUUGUCAGGGAAGAAAAGGGCGGGGUUAAUACCCCUGUCUGAUGACGGUACCUGAAGAAUAAGCACCGGCUAACUACGUGCCAGCAGCCGCGGUAAUACGUAGGGUGCGAGCGUUAAUCGGAAUUACUGGGCGUAAAGCGGGCGCAGACGGUUACUUAAGCAGGAUGUGAAAUCCCCGGGCUCAACCUGGGAACUGCGUUCUGAACUGGGUGACUAGAGUGUGUCAGAGGGAGGUAGAAUUCCACGUGUAGCAGUGAAAUGCGUAGAGAUGUGGAGGAAUACCGAUGGCGAAGGCAGCCUCCUGGGAUAACACUGACGUUCAUGCCCGAAAGCGUGGGUAGCAAACAGGAUUAGAUACCCUGGUAGUCCACGCCCUAAACGAUGUCGAUUAGCUGUUGGGCAGCUUGACUGCUUAGUAGCGAAGCUAACGCGUGAAAUCGACCGCCUGGGGAGUACGGUCGCAAGAUUA